This 1611-nucleotide long non-coding RNA is filed under the name Homo sapiens (human). Its description in RNAcentral is "HSALNT0356275". The record is from RNAcentral. Lineage: Eukaryota; Metazoa; Chordata; Mammalia; Primates; Hominidae.
GGAGAAAUUAUAUUUGGAACUAGAAAGAAGUAGCAAAGCCAUGGAGGACCACAGGUGCGAUGCUGGGGCAGAAACGUAGUGGAAUGAUAGUUGUGAAUGUUCCCCACAAGGUUAGAAAGCUGAGGCACACAGAGAGGGCAAGUAACAGGCCUGAAGUUACACUGCUGGUGAGUCACAGAGCCAUGCUUCAAACCUAGCCUCCUGGCUUCCGAGCCCAGCACUUGGCCACGGCGCUGUGUAGGCUGGCUGGGGCUUGAGUGCUUCCUGGAUGUUUAUGGAAUAUUUUCAAGAGAAAUAUUUUCCUGAGAGCCGACGCCUCCUCUGAAACCCUGCAGCCUUCUCAGCAGGAAACAAUCAGAAGCUUGGCCUUGCCUGCAAAACUCAACACUGAACACCUGAAGGAAAAAAAAAUCCCAUUGGCAAAGCUUGCUUUUAACCGUGGGAGACACCAAGCAACGUUGCCAGUUUCCCGGGGGCCCAAUACCUUUCUGACUUUGCAAUAACUCCCAAGUUAAACAAAUUGCCAAAGAGUUAUAAGCCUCUUAUUAGUUGGAUGGCUUCCCCCAAUUGCUCUGCUGGCUGCAUUUUCCCUGCACACACAUUGGUGAGUUCUGCCGACUAUUCGUGUGCCUGCAAGUUGAGGAGCUCUGGCAUUUCUGUGAUCUACAGUCUCCAAUCUCCACUCCCUCUUGCCUUCACUUUGAACUGAAGUGCUGUCUUAAGCAACCCCACUACCCACCACCUAACAAGCCAGGACGUGAGUCUUCAUGACUGUUACAACACUUGAACCUGAUUCCAGGCUAACCAGUAACACCAGUAUUCAAACUGCAGUGUGAGGAACACCGCAACAAGCUGAAGAAAUGGCCUGUACCGAUUUCCUAAUGGUCAGAGGAUGAAGUGCGGCACAGCAACAGCUGGAAACACAGGUUACAGAAGGCUUAGACAAGAGAGGCAUUGGAGAAUACCGUGAAAAUCUAAAAUAGAGAGCUAGCAUUCGUUUAUGGCCUUCAGUUUACAUGGCAGAAGCCAAAAUGGAGAGCUGGGAGAGAUCAGUUUCACCUGGGUAAAGACCAAUCGGAUGCUUUGGGAUAAAAAUCCACUUUAGAAAUUAAAUUAUCCAUUUCAGUUUACCGCCCUAAUUCAUAAGUCAAUGUCCAACUCUAUUUGAUUUUGUAUUGAACAAAAUUUAGCUGUUAUACCAACUUCUGUUUCUGCAUGAAUUUACAUAUAACAUAAGAUCUCUGUGGACUGGGUGUGGUGACUUGCAUCUGUAAUCCCAGCACUUUGGGAGGCUAAGGUUGCAGGGUCACUUCAGCCAGGGAGUUUGAGACCAGACUAGGCAAUAUAGUGAGACCUCGUCUCUACAAAAAAUUUAAAAAACAAACCAAAAACAGCCAAAUGUGGUGGUGCACGUCUAUAGUCCCAGCUACUCUGGAGGCUGAGGUGAGAGGAUUGCUUGAGCCCAGGGGGUCAGAGGCUGCAGUGAGCUGGGAUCACACCACUGCACACCAGCCUGGGAAACAGAGGAAGAUUCUGUCAAAAAGAAAACAAAACUGUAUGAUGAUUAUACAACGUGAAAUGAAGCAAUUCCAUCAAAAUUUAUUCCUCAAU